RNAcentral lists this long non-coding RNA (1385 nucleotides) under Felis catus (domestic cat). RNAcentral describes it as "lncRNA (ENSFCAG00000049490.1)". Lineage: Eukaryota; Metazoa; Chordata; Mammalia; Carnivora; Felidae. The record is from RNAcentral.
UCUAAGUAGAUUUCUAUUCAGAAAUAGUUAUAUAAUACCUGCUCACAUGUGAAAGGAAGCUUAUAGAUAAGCUGAAAGAUUGAGCAAUUCUCCUGGAGCCAGAAGAAACACACCCGUGCUCUUCUGUUGAGGAUUUAUUGAUGUUAUACCAGUUGACACUCUCAUUUUAAUUCUUAUCUAUCAUGAGAUGUUGAUUUAUUACCCCUAAUGUAUAUUAAGAAAUGGCUGUUUUGGUGAUGAUUUCCAGAUUUCCAUUUGAGUUGACCUGUUGAAAGUUAUUUGACUAAUUAUGAAGAACAAGAACCAGGACCCUAUGGUUUCUUCAUUAAGAUGAGGGGAUGGAUCUCCCCCUUAUCGUCGGGGACACCUGAGGCUUGUGGGUUACUAUCUGCCUCUCUUCAUGGUCCUGAGUGUGGGGAAGAGUUUAAGAUGUCACAAGAUGUGGUGUUUGUUUCAAUUCUGCACAGUCUACUAAAAGGAGAAUACACCUCCAUCCCUUCUAGAGACUUUAGCCGAUCCAGAAGCUGGUGUCACUCCCAUGAGUCACAACAACAAGCACUCUACCAAAAAUGCCAAGAAGGACCAGGGCAGUGUGGAUUCGUGGGGGUCUCCUCUCUUAACUGGAAGAUUCUGCACACCCUACCCUAAAGGCCACCCUAUGGGCUCCUGGGCACAUCCACCUCCUGAACCUUGGUGGCCCUGAGGAACACCCUAAACCCCUCCACCUACACCACUUGGUAAGAUGAUCUGAGCAGUAUGUGUUGAUUUGCAAAACACAUUCAUCUAAUUUUUGUUGUUGUUGAGUCUUGGACAAAGUGCAGAGGUGUUACCACUGGGCAUUAUAAUGCAAGAGAAAUGUGUCUACCGCAAUUACUACAUUCCUCAAGUGUCUCAUGAUCCCUAUCAUCUUUGUGUCAUUUCUCCCACUCUGUGUUGGUACAUAUGUCUCUUGUGGAGAUGGAAUGGGGCCAUAUACAGAAAAGCAGGCAUGGCGCUUCAGCAGAUGUGUGCCGUACACAGUCCACGUGCUGGGCGGUGGGAGGCAUGAGGCUCAGCCUAAUGUAUAUCUAUCCAGUUGAGCCCUCACUCAUCCACAGUUGUUUGAUGAGUCAUGAAAGCAUCUGAACCAGGGCUAUAACAGGUCUUCAUCAAAGUUUAAGGGAUGGUUCUCCCCUUCACCUUGGGAUCGCCUGAAGCAUGUGGGAUACCCUCUGCAUGUGAUUUGGGAUGUGACUGGGCCAAAGAGUUUAAGUUGUUUGAGGAAUGAGGUGAUGGUUUUUGUUUUUAGUUUUUUGUAGUUUUUUUUUUUUUUUUUUUUUUUUUUUUGUCUCUGCACAAUCUACUCCAAUCAAAAUAAACCUCCAUCCCUUCUCGGGUCUUUUGCA